UUCCUAUGAUGUCUAUAUUUAGAUAAGCAUAUGUCUGAUAAUCAAUGAGGACAAACGGAUUCUGAGGAA
This 69-nucleotide small nucleolar RNA is filed under the name Tetranychus urticae (two-spotted spider mite). Its description in RNAcentral is "snoRNA tetur03g09982". The record is from RNAcentral. Lineage: Eukaryota; Metazoa; Arthropoda; Arachnida; Trombidiformes; Tetranychidae.